AUACGUAGGGUGCGAGCGUUGUCCGGAAUUACUGGGCGUAAAGAGCUCGUAGGUGGUUUGUCGCGUCGUCUGUGAAAUUCCGGGGCUUAACUCCGGGCGUGCAGGCGAUACGGGCAUAACUUGAGUACUGUAGGGGAGACUGGAAUUCCUGGAGUAGCGGUGAAAUGCGCAGAUAUCAGGAGGAACACCGGUGGCGAAGGCGGGUCUCUGGGCAGUAACUGACGCUGAGGAGCGAAAGCAGGGGUAGCGAACAGGAUUAGAUACCCUGGUAGUCCAUGCCGUAAACGGUGGGCGCUAGGUGUAGGGGUCUUCCACGACUUCUGUGCCGUAGCUAACGCAUUAAGCGCCCCGCCUGGGGAGUACGGCCGCAAGGCUAAAACUCAAAGGAAUUGACGGGG
RNAcentral lists this ribosomal RNA (398 nucleotides) under uncultured bacterium. RNAcentral describes it as "partial 16S ribosomal RNA". It matches the Rfam family "Bacterial small subunit ribosomal RNA", at positions 523 to 918 of the family's 1533-position model. The record is from RNAcentral.